This 240-nucleotide ribosomal RNA is filed under the name uncultured bacterium. RNAcentral's name for it is "partial 16S ribosomal RNA". It matches the Rfam family "Bacterial small subunit ribosomal RNA", at positions 94 to 334 of the family's 1533-position model. The record is from RNAcentral.
AGCGGCGGACGGGUGAGUAACGCGUGGGUAACCUGCCUCAUACAGGGGGAUAACAGUUGGAAACGGCUGCUAAUACCGCAUAAGCGCACAGUACCGCAUGGUACCGUGUGAAAAACUCCGGUGGUAUGAGAUGGACCCGCGCCUGAUUAGCUAGUUGGUGGGGUAACGGCCUACCAAGGCGACGAUCAGUAGCCGACCUGAGAGGGUGACCGGCCACAUUGGGACUGAGACACGGCCCAA